GUGCCUGUAGCUCAGCUGGAUAGAGCGUCUGACUACGGAUCAGAAGGCCGGGGGUUCGAAUCCCUUCAGGCACGCCA
This 77-nucleotide transfer RNA is filed under the name Peptococcaceae bacterium BRH_c4b. RNAcentral's name for it is "tRNA-Arg". It matches the Rfam family "tRNA". From Rfam's summary of the family: Transfer RNA (tRNA) molecules are approximately 80 nucleotides in length. Their secondary structure includes four short double-helical elements and three loops (D, anti-codon, and T loops). Further hydrogen bonds mediate the characteristic L-shaped molecular structure. tRNAs have two regions of fundamental functional importance: the anti-codon, which is responsible for specific mRNA codon recognition, and the 3' end, to which the tRNAs corresponding amino acid is attached (by aminoacyl-tRNA synthetases). tRNAs cope with the degeneracy of the genetic code in two manners: having more than one tRNA (with a specific anti-codon) for a particular amino acid; and 'wobble' base-pairing, i.e. permitting non-standard base-pairing at the 3rd anti-codon position. The record is from RNAcentral. Lineage: Bacteria; Bacillati; Bacillota; Clostridia; Eubacteriales; Peptococcaceae. RNAcentral also lists the same sequence under 1 other name.